UACGAAGGGGGCUAGCGUUGUUCGGAAUUACUGGGCGUAAAGCGCGCGCAGGCGGCUAUCCAAGUCAGUGGUGAAAGCCCGGAGCUCAACUCCGGAACUGCCAUUGAAACUGUUUAGCUUGAGGAUGAGAGAGGUGAGUGGAAUUCCCGGUGUAGCGGUGAAAUGCGCAGAUAUCGGGAGGAACACCAGUAGCGAAGGCGACACUCUGGGCCGGUACUGACGCUGAGGAGCGAAAGCGUGGGGAGCAAACAGG
RNAcentral lists this ribosomal RNA (253 nucleotides) under uncultured bacterium. RNAcentral's name for it is "partial 16S ribosomal RNA". It matches the Rfam family "Bacterial small subunit ribosomal RNA", at positions 524 to 776 of the family's 1533-position model. The record is from RNAcentral.